This 1525-nucleotide ribosomal RNA is filed under the name uncultured bacterium. RNAcentral describes it as "16S ribosomal RNA". It matches the Rfam family "Bacterial small subunit ribosomal RNA". The record is from RNAcentral.
AGAGUUUGAUCCUGGCUCAGGACGAACGCUGGCGGCGUGCUUAACACAUGCAAGUCGAACGGACCUUAUUUGGAGGAAGCUUUCGGGUAGACACUGAAUAAGGUUAGUGGCGGACGGGUGAGUAACGCGUAGAUAAUCUACCUUAAAGACUGGGACAACAGUUGGAAACGACUGCUAAUACCGGAUAAGCUAAACGGAAGGCAUCUUCUGUUUAGGAAAGGAGGCCUCUUAACAAUGCUCCCGCUUUUAGAUGAGUCUGCGUCUGAUUAGCUAGUUGGUGGGGUAACGGCUUACCAAGGCGACGAUCAGUAGUCGGCCUGAGAGGGUGACCGGCCACAUUGGGACUGAGACACGGCCCAAACUCCUACGGGAGGCAGCAGUGGGGAAUCUUCCGCAAUGGGCGAAAGCCUGACGGAGCAACGCCGCGUGAUCGAAUGAAGGCCUUCGGGUUGUAAAGAUCUGUUGACAGGGACGAAUAAGCCAUGCGAAUAGUUUGGUGUAUGACGGUACCUGUUUAGAAAGCUCCGGCUAACUACGUGCCAGCAGCCGCGGUAAUACGUAGGGAGCAAGCGUUGUCCGGAAUUACUGGGCGUAAAGGGCGCGUAGGUGGGUGCUUAAGUCAGGUGUGAAAACUCUGGGCUCAACCUGGAGACUGCACUUGAAACUGGGUAUCUUGAGGGCAGGAGAGGAAAGUGGAAUUCCUAGUGUAGCGGUGAAAUGCGUAGAUAUUAGGAGGAACACCAGUGGCGAAGGCGACUUUCUGGACUGUACCUGACGCUGAGGCGCGAAAGCGUGGGUAGCGAACGGGAUUAGAUACCCCGGUAGUCCACGCCGUAAACGAUGAAUACUAGGUGUAGGAGGUAUCGACUCCUUCUGUGCCGCAGCAAACGCAAUAAGUAUUCCGCCUGGGGACUACGGUCGCAAGACUAAAACUCAAAGGAAUUGACGGGGACCCGCACAAGCGGUGGAGCAUGUGGUUUAAUUCGACGCAACGCGAAGAACCUUACCAGGGCUUGACAUCCCUCGCUAUCUGUGGAAACACGGAGUUCCGUAGCUUGCUACGGACGAGGAGACAGGUGGUGCAUGGUUGUCGUCAGCUCGUGUCGUGAGAUGUUGGGUUAAGUCCCGCAACGAGCGCAACCCCUACGUCCAGUUGCCAGCACGUUAAGGUGGGAACUCUGGAGGAACUGCCGGUGACAAACCGGAGGAAGGUGGGGAUGACGUCAAAUCAUCAUGCCCUUUAUGUUCUGGGCUACACACGUGCUACAAUGGCCGGUACAGAGGGCGGCGAAGCCGCGAGGUGGAGCGAAUCCCAAAAAGCCGGUCUAAGUUCGGAUUGCAGGCUGCAACCCGCCUGCAUGAAGUCGGAAUCGCUAGUAAUCGCGAGUCAGCAUAUCGCGGUGAAUACGUUCCCGGGUCUUGUACACACCGCCCGUCACACCAUGGGAGUUGGCAACACCCGAAGUCGAUGAGCUAACCGCAAGGAGGCAGUCGCCUAAGGUGGGGUUGAUAACUGGGGUGAAGU